GAUGAACGCUGGCGGCGUGCUUAACACAUGCAAGUCGAACGGUGAACACGGAGCUUGCUCUGUGGGAUCAGUGGCGAACGGGUGAGUAACACGUGAGCAACCUGCACCUGACUCUGGGAUAAGCGCUGGAAACGGCGUCUAAUACUGGAUAUGUGACGUGACCGCAUGGUCUGCGUUUGGAAAGAUCUUUCGGUUGGGGAUGGGCUCGCGGACUAUCAGCUUGUUGGUGAGGUAAUGGCUCACCAAGGCGUCGACGGGUAGCCGGCCUGAGAGGGUGACCGGCCACACUGGGAUUGAGACACGGCCCAGACUCCUACGGGAGGCAGCAGUGGGGAAUAUUGCACAAUGGGCGAAAGCCUGAUGCAGCAACGCCGCGUUAGGGAUGACGGCCUUCGGGUUGUAAACCUUUUUUAGCAGGGAAGAAGCGAAAGUGACGGUACCUGCAGAAAAAGCGCCGGCUAACUACGUG
RNAcentral lists this ribosomal RNA (469 nucleotides) under uncultured bacterium. RNAcentral's name for it is "partial 16S ribosomal RNA". It matches the Rfam family "Bacterial small subunit ribosomal RNA", at positions 28 to 507 of the family's 1533-position model. The record is from RNAcentral.